AGUGAACGCUGGCGGUAGGCCUAACACAUGCAAGUCGAACGGCAGCACAGUAAGAGCUUGCUCUUACGGGUGGCGAGUGGCGGACGGGUGAGGAAUACAUCGGAAUCUACUUUUUCGUGGGGGAUAACGUAGGGAAACUUACGCUAAUACCGCAUACGACCUACGGGUGAAAGCAGGGGAUCUUCGGACCUUGCGCGAUUGAAUGAGCCGGUGUCGGAUUAGCUAGUUGGCGGGGUAAAGGCCCACCAAGGCGACGAUCCGUAGCUGGUCUGAGAGGAUGAUCAGCCACACUGGAACUGAGACACGGUCCAGAGUCCGACGGGAGGCAGCAGUGGGGAAUAUUGGACAAUGGGCGCAAGCCUGAUCCAGCCAUACCGCGUGGGUGAAGAAGGCCUUCGGGUUGUAAAGCCCUUUUGUUGGGAAAGAAAAGCAGCAGGUUAAUACCCCGCUGUUCUGACGGUACCCAAAGAAUAGGCACCGGCUAACUUCGUG
This 492-nucleotide ribosomal RNA is filed under the name uncultured bacterium. RNAcentral's name for it is "partial 16S ribosomal RNA". It matches the Rfam family "Bacterial small subunit ribosomal RNA", at positions 29 to 507 of the family's 1533-position model. The record is from RNAcentral.